UUCUGUGUUUUUUGGGUACUUUUCACUGUUAACCCUUUACCUCUAAAAUGAAAUAUCAUAGAUACUUUUUCUUAACGUCACGUACUCUAAUUUAUAUGAUAGGGUAACGCAUACUGUCAGGUAUUCCUUCAUGAAAAAGAUUUAAAAAGUAAAAUCACAAAAAUACUAAACUCAGAGGAAAAUCAAAUCGGAAAGUCCCUAAGCAUGGCAAAAUUCAAAUGACAAAAGACAUCAAAAAACGAAUGGACAACAACUGUCUUAUUGCUGACUUGGUAAUUUACUUAGAUAUCAAACGUUUCUUCUAUUUUCGAAAAUGUGACGCUAACACCCAAUUUUACAUGUCAAAAAGGAAUUUCUACUUUCUAUUUCAAAAUUUAGAAAGCCUCAGAGAUAACCGCUAGAAUCUGCAUCAAAUAUAAAACAGUAUAGAAC
RNAcentral lists this long non-coding RNA (432 nucleotides) under Mytilus galloprovincialis (Mediterranean mussel). The record is from RNAcentral. Lineage: Eukaryota; Metazoa; Mollusca; Bivalvia; Mytilida; Mytilidae.